GAUGAACGCUGGCGGCGUGCCUAAUACAUGCAAGUCGAGCGAACAGACGAGGAGCUUGCUCCUCUGACGUUAGCGGCGGACGGGUGAGUAACACGUGGAUAACCUACCUAUAAGACUGGGAUAACUUCGGGAAACCGGAGCUAAUACCGGAUAAUAUAUUGAACCGCAUGGUUCAAUAGUGAAAGACGGUUUUGCUGUCACUAAUAGAUUGAUCCGCGUCGCAUUAGCUAGUGGGUGAGGUAACGGCUUACCAAGGCAACGAUGCGUAGCCGCCCUGAGAGGGUGAUCGGCCACACUGGCACUGAGACACGUUCCAGACUCCUACGGGAGGCAGCAGUAGGGAAUCUUCCGCAAUGGGCGAAAGCCUGACGGAGCAACGCCGCGUGAGUGAUGAAGGUCUUCGGAUCGUAAAACUCUGUUAUUAGGGAAGAACAAAUGUGUAAGUAACUAUGCACGUCUUGACGGUACCCAAUCAGAAAGCCACGGCUAACUCCGUG
This 497-nucleotide ribosomal RNA is filed under the name uncultured bacterium. Its description in RNAcentral is "partial 16S ribosomal RNA". It matches the Rfam family "Bacterial small subunit ribosomal RNA", at positions 28 to 507 of the family's 1533-position model. The record is from RNAcentral.